Molecule: non-coding RNA, 272 nt
Organism: Pelobates cultripes (western spadefoot toad)
Lineage: Eukaryota; Metazoa; Chordata; Amphibia; Anura; Pelobatidae
Source: the annotation of a GenBank genome assembly
AUGGCUAGAAGGUUGGAGAAAUUUUAAACUAGUAGUAGGGGGAGAGGGUCAUAGCAAUCUACAAAAUGGAGAUAGGACAGAAAGGAGAUGGGCUUUAGCACAGUAUAAGGGGGGUGGAGAUGGUGGGAGGGGCAAGCUCAGAACAGAGAAGCUAUGUAAUGUUGAUAAUUCCCAAAAUAUACAAGUGACGCAUGAUAUUAAAUGUAUGCUUACUAAUGCAAGGAGCCUAAAUAACAAAAUGGGGGAACUAGAGGCAUUAGCAUACACUAAAC